Molecule: non-coding RNA, 75 nt
Organism: Podarcis lilfordi (Lilford's wall lizard)
Lineage: Eukaryota; Metazoa; Chordata; Lepidosauria; Squamata; Lacertidae
Source: the annotation of a GenBank genome assembly
GGAUGUGUAGCUCAGUGGCAGAUCAUCUGCCUCGCAUGCAGAAGGUCCCAGGUUCAAUCUCCAGUGGUGUCUCCA